Molecule: RNA transcript, 1224 nt
Organism: Magnolia sinica
Lineage: Eukaryota; Viridiplantae; Streptophyta; Magnoliopsida; Magnoliales; Magnoliaceae
Exons: 5
Source: RefSeq, a predicted model, not a curated record
UUUCUUUUAACAAAGGGCAGACAUUCCGAUCAAUGCUUCCUUCACUUCUUGAAAUGGGUUAUCAGGUGAGAUUUGGUGUUCUAGAGCUGGAGCUUUUGGUGUUUCUCAGUCUGGGAAACGAGCAUUCAUAUGGGCAACUUGUCCAGAAGAGACACUCCCAGAGUGGCCCGAGUCAUUGCACGUCUUUGCAGGCCCAGAACUGAAAAUCACAUUACCAAGGGAUGUACAGUAUGCUGCCGUCAGGAGUACAGCUGGGGGGGCACCCUUCCGUGUAAUAACUGUGAGAGAUACAAUUGGAGAUCUCCCACCUGUUGGAAAUGGAGCACUAAAACAGAGAUGGAUUAUGGAAAUGAUCCUGUGUCAUGGUUCCAAAAGCAAAUCCGAGGGAACAUGUUUGUCUUGAGUGAUCACAUAUCAAAAGAAAAGAAUGAGUUGAACUACAUCCGAUGCCAAAGAAUUCCAAAGCGCCCAGGUGCUGAUUGGCAUGACAUACCAGAAGAAAAGGUGCUUGCCGAAGCGCCCAGGUGUAUUGUCUUACAAUGUCUACAAAAUGCAGGUUAAACUGUCUACUGGUCAAAUGGUGGAUUUGAUACCUCGGUGCUUGCCAAACACAGCCAAUAAGCACAAUCAGUGGAAAGGACUGUUUGGACCUGAUGUACCAAGUAUGUGUUAUGAUUGUUAGUCGUUACAACUUACCUGGAUUGACAGGAGAGCAUUGUGAAGCUAGGCUACUGAUGUCAACUGCAGCAGAAGCAUUUCUACAAAGCUUUGGAGCAUUAUUAGGAUAUUCAGAUCUCCUGCAGCAACAUGGAAAAGAAACGAAUCAAAGGCAGGAAGCUAUAGGUCCCCAGAUGCAUCAAAGUGAGGAGUAAGAUGCUAUAUGCAAGCUUCAAGGACAGGUUAAAGAGAGAUGUAAAUGGAUUUCAAGUGGAAUUGAAAGCUACAGACCCCAUCAAGAUGAGCAUUAAUAUCAUCAAGGUCCGGGCUCUUCACCCUUCAUCAUUUUUUUUUCCUUUCUUUCUUUAUUAAAAAAUCCCAACCAUCAAUAUCUUUCGCUCAAUUCUCUUCUUCUUCUUCUUCUUUUGGCAUUUUUUCUAUUGAUAAUAUAUGUGAUUCAAUGUCUAGAAUGGCAACUUCAUUUAGUUUAAUGGUUUAUGUUUCCUGGAUGUAGCUGCAAUGAGGUGAGGGGCCUUUGUAUUUUGGAUAUAUAUGGUGUGUUUUUUU